This 327-nucleotide ribosomal RNA is filed under the name uncultured bacterium. Its description in RNAcentral is "bacterial SSU rRNA". It matches the Rfam family "Bacterial small subunit ribosomal RNA", at positions 30 to 355 of the family's 1533-position model. The record is from RNAcentral.
AUUGAACGCUGGCGGCGUGCCUAACACAUGCAAGUCGAGCGGUAACGCGGGAGCAAUCCUGGCGACGAGCGGCGAACGGGUGAGUAAUGCUUCGGAAUCUUCCCAGUAGUGGGGAAUAACUAGCCGAAAGGUUAGCUAAUACCGCAUACGUCCUACGGGAGAAAGCAGGGGAGUCGCAAGACCUUGCGCUAUUGGAUGAGCCGAAGUCGGAUUAGCUAGUUGGUAGGGUAACGGCCACCAAGGCGACAAUCCGUAGCUGGCCUGAGAGGACGACCAGCCACACUGGGACUGAGACACGGGCCCAGACUCCUACGGGAGGGCAGCAGU